GGUGGCUCAGUAGUAGAGCCCUUGUCUUGCAUGCAUGAGGCCCUGGGUUCAAUUCCUCAGCACCA
Molecule: transfer RNA, 65 nt
Filed under: Dipodomys ordii (Ord's kangaroo rat)
Lineage: Eukaryota; Metazoa; Chordata; Mammalia; Rodentia; Heteromyidae
Rfam family: tRNA
About the family: Transfer RNA (tRNA) molecules are approximately 80 nucleotides in length. Their secondary structure includes four short double-helical elements and three loops (D, anti-codon, and T loops). Further hydrogen bonds mediate the characteristic L-shaped molecular structure. tRNAs have two regions of fundamental functional importance: the anti-codon, which is responsible for specific mRNA codon recognition, and the 3' end, to which the tRNAs corresponding amino acid is attached (by aminoacyl-tRNA synthetases). tRNAs cope with the degeneracy of the genetic code in two manners: having more than one tRNA (with a specific anti-codon) for a particular amino acid; and 'wobble' base-pairing, i.e. permitting non-standard base-pairing at the 3rd anti-codon position.
Source: Rfam by way of RNAcentral